GUGAAACCGUUUAGGGGUAAACCUGAGAAAUCCAAAAGAUCGAAUGGAGAGAUUCAUCGUCAGCUUAUUAUGUAUAUGUAUGAAUUAUGAUACGGGUUACUACUUGUAGUAUUGCCUGUACGUUUUUAUAUAUUUAUUUGCAUGAUAUUGUCGGCGUGCACUUCUCUCCUAGUAGGACAUCGCGACCCGUUGAGUGUCGGUCUACGGCCCAAGUUGGAAGCCUUUAAUGUUUUUUUUAAUAUUAAAGACCCUUGGUGUAUUCUGACCGGCUACUCGGCGGUAAUCGUAUGGUAUUAAGCCGCAUAUUUAUAUGCGUUCUUAUCCGUCACAAGCGCGGCUAAUAUUUUUAGUAGUACGGACUCAGUGCCGUCACUUGUAUUGGCCAGCUGUUGGUUGUACGGUAUUCUAAAACUGGCUAAUUUACCGGUCAGCGAUGCUACUGCUUUGGAUACUUUCAGGACCCGUCUUGAAACACGGACCAAGGAGUCUAACAUGUGCGCAAGUCAUUGGGAUUUUUAAAUAAUUAAACCUAAAGGCGUAAUAAAAGUAAAAAUUGUCCUUGUGUCAAUUGAGGGAGGAUGAGUUGUAUUUUAUUACAGUUUCGCACUCCCGGGGCGUCUCAUUC
This 625-nucleotide ribosomal RNA is filed under the name Acanthormius sp. 14 DLJQ-2021a. Its description in RNAcentral is "partial 28S ribosomal RNA". It matches the Rfam family "Eukaryotic large subunit ribosomal RNA", at positions 399 to 776 of the family's 3401-position model. Lineage: Eukaryota; Metazoa; Arthropoda; Insecta; Hymenoptera; Braconidae. The record is from RNAcentral.